This 269-nucleotide long non-coding RNA is filed under the name Chrysemys picta bellii (western painted turtle). RNAcentral's name for it is "lncRNA (ENSCPBG00000022377.1)". Lineage: Eukaryota; Metazoa; Chordata; Testudines; Emydidae. The record is from RNAcentral.
AUUUUAUCAUUAGAAUUAUAAAUUUGUAGUUUAGAUUCAAACCUAAUUAUUUUUCUUUCUCUUUCUUUUUUUAGGCUAUCUCCUAAGGAACAUGAGCAGGCUCAACAGCUACAACACCAGACCUAUCUGUUCAGAUAAAGCUGGUCUUAGGGAGGAGGUAGGUGGCUCUGUGAAGAUUGUAUGUCAAGAGAUGUCUGGGCUCUUAAAGCAACAUUUGAUCAUUGCAAAUAUGCAUUGAAAAGAAUUGAGUCCACAAAUGCUUUCUUGAA